Molecule: non-coding RNA, 75 nt
Filed under: uncultured Agrococcus sp.
Lineage: Bacteria; Bacillati; Actinomycetota; Actinomycetes; Micrococcales; Microbacteriaceae
Description: TPP riboswitch (THI element)
Rfam family: TPP riboswitch aptamer (THI element)
About the family: Vitamin B(1) in its active form thiamin pyrophosphate (TPP) is an essential coenzyme that is synthesised by coupling of pyrimidine and thiazole moieties in bacteria. The previously detected thiamin-regulatory element, thi box was extended, resulting in a new, highly conserved RNA secondary structure, the THI element, which is widely distributed in eubacteria and also occurs in some archaea.
Source: RNAcentral
GACACGGGGUGCCGCACGCGGCUGAGAACACACCCGUCGAACCUGAUCCAGUUCGUACUGGCGAAGGGAUGUCCG